CAUUGAGGUGUAGGUGGAUGACGAGAAAGACAAGGGUUCGCCGUGGUCUACAUGGUGCAUCAUUAGAGGAUACACAGGUAUGCUCUGUGGCACAGCUGAAGAUAUAUUCAUCUUUGGUGAUGAUUCCACCAGCUUAUCCUUCCUAUUAUUGACCUUCUUUCCCAAAUUAUAUUCCUCUGCUUUCCUUCGCUUUCUCGUCAUCCACCUACACCUCAAUGCAACAUCACGUACAGUUUUAUCAGGCAAGGUGGCUGCAAUCUUUAUGUAUCUCAUAAUACUUGGCUCAUCAGCAAAUUUGUUAAGGCCUUCCUCCAAUUUGUAUUGUUCGUCAACAGACCACUCAACAGCCAAGCCAGUAUCAUGCUUGAGGCCAGGAGCAGAAUCAAGAAGAAGAGAAGAAGCAGAAGAAUUGACAGCUGGAACAUGAAGAAUUCCGGGACUGUUAUUAAUCAUGCUGGAAUUCCCUGGCAACAUCACAGUACUAGUACUAGUAUUUAUCCCAAAGUAACUCCCUAUCGGAAUCAUCUCAGAUGAAUUAUUUAUUGCAUCAGAAUGAAAGGAUAUCGCGUGCCGAUUGAGCGCAGAACCCAAAGCUUCUUCCCGACGAAACCCAGUAUUGGACUCCGCUGCCAUUUUCUCUACCAAAAUUCUCUAGCACACCAUAAUCUCACACAACUCACAUCUCAACACUUCACUUGCUCUUUUUAGGGCCACUUUCCGAUGGAGCCCUAAUUGGCCAAGUUGGGGUGAUUUGCCUUUGGCUUUGCCUUUUUCUCUCACUCCCUACUUCUACUUGCGCCUGCUGCCAACACACACAGUGCCACUCACUACUCUAAGCCUUUACUUUUUUUUUUUUUUCUUUUUCUGCAACGG
RNAcentral lists this unclassified non-coding RNA (873 nucleotides) under Hevea brasiliensis (rubber tree). The record is from RNAcentral. Lineage: Eukaryota; Viridiplantae; Streptophyta; Magnoliopsida; Malpighiales; Euphorbiaceae.